GUGCUCACUUCAGCAGCACAUAUACUAAAAUUGGAACGACAGAGAUUAGCAUGGCCCCUGUGCAAGGAUAACAUGCAAAUUCGUGAAGCAUUCCAUAUUUUU
Small nuclear RNA from Aethalodelphis obliquidens (Pacific white-sided dolphin), 102 nucleotides. The record is from RefSeq and is a predicted model, not a curated record. Lineage: Eukaryota; Metazoa; Chordata; Mammalia; Artiodactyla; Delphinidae.